UACGUAGGGUGCAAGCGUUGUCCGGAAUCAUUGGGCGUAAAGAGCGUGUAGGCGGCCCGGUAAGUCCGCUGUGAAAGUCCAGGGCUCAACCCUGGAAAGCCGGUGGAUACUGUCGGGCUAGAGUCCGGAAGGGGCGAGUGGAAUUCCUGGUGUAGCGGUGAAAUGCGCAGAUAUCAGGAGGAACACCAAUGGCGAAGGCAGCUCGCUGGGACGGUACUGACGCUGAGACGCGAAAGCGUGGGGAGCAAACAGG
Molecule: ribosomal RNA, 253 nt
Filed under: uncultured bacterium
Lineage: Bacteria
Description: partial 16S ribosomal RNA
Rfam family: Bacterial small subunit ribosomal RNA
Source: RNAcentral